CAGUUUCGCCAACGGAAUAUUUCGAAAUGUACGAAGAGUGGGAAUCAAACACUAGAGAACAAUAACAGAAAUGGCAUUCCGGACCUUCCGUUCCUUCUCUUAACAGACCCAGAAUCAGCAAAGCACGCAGCUCUUGCAGCCUCAGCCCUAGCCCCAACGGCAGCAGUAGCAGCAACAGCUACACCUUUAUCUCUUUGCCAAUGAUAAAUCCCUGGGCAGUUACAAUACAUAUUAGGCCGAUAUAACCAUAAUGUUCCCUGACUGAGUUGUUUGAGCUGAGCAGUAAAUCAGGGUUUAAAUAAAGAUUUUCUUUUCCAAACUCUUUCUACAGGGGGCGGAUAUUGGAGUACAGAGACGAAAGCCAGAGGUUAGACCAUUGUAGCUGUCUUUAUGAUUCUUUGGUAUCAACUGGCGGAUUUGAACUUGAAGCUAAUCAUAUUGUGCAGGGCAAGUUUCAGAGCUGCAUCUGUUAGUGAAUUUGUUCCAACUUGCAAAGCCUUGUGAUGAGGGGUAAUUUGGCCCUCUAGUGGCAUCACGCCAUGUGGCACUUCCGAACUGUUGCAUAACAAGAUCACAUCUCCUCCCCACAAGGGGCUGCCCCACAAUGCCCCACAGCACAUCC
Nelumbo nucifera (sacred lotus) is the source of this 622-nucleotide non-coding RNA. Lineage: Eukaryota; Viridiplantae; Streptophyta; Magnoliopsida; Proteales; Nelumbonaceae. The record is from RefSeq and is a predicted model, not a curated record.